RNAcentral lists this non-coding RNA (27 nucleotides) under Cricetulus griseus (Chinese hamster). RNAcentral also lists the same sequence under 1 other name. Lineage: Eukaryota; Metazoa; Chordata; Mammalia; Rodentia; Cricetidae. The record is from RNAcentral.
GCAGCUCCCUCGCUGCGAUCUAUUGAA